GAGGGUAUAGCUCAGUGGUAGAGCAUAUGCUUAGCAUGCACAAGGCCCUGGGUUCAAUCCCCAGUACCUCCA
This 72-nucleotide transfer RNA is filed under the name Vicugna pacos (alpaca). RNAcentral describes it as "tRNA-Ala (AGC) (tRNA-Ala-AGC-480-1)". It matches the Rfam family "tRNA". Rfam says of the family: Transfer RNA (tRNA) molecules are approximately 80 nucleotides in length. Their secondary structure includes four short double-helical elements and three loops (D, anti-codon, and T loops). The record is from Rfam by way of RNAcentral. Lineage: Eukaryota; Metazoa; Chordata; Mammalia; Artiodactyla; Camelidae.